RNA transcript from Beta vulgaris subsp. vulgaris (sugar beet), 1444 nucleotides. It is a transcript of the gene named pentatricopeptide repeat-containing protein At3g04760, chloroplastic, with no coding region annotated. The transcript has 2 exons. The record is from RefSeq and is a predicted model, not a curated record. Lineage: Eukaryota; Viridiplantae; Streptophyta; Magnoliopsida; Caryophyllales; Amaranthaceae.
AUGCUCCACCGCUCUACUCUAUAGUCUAGCCCUUGCAAAAUUUGUUUAAGAACCAAUUUCCAAAUUUCAAUCAAUCUCACUUGGGUCGAAAACAACAAAAGUGCCCAAGAACCUUACUUUCUCUCAUACAAUUGUAGAAGAGCCAACAAAGUCACAUUGAGAAAUAAGCGCAGCCCUAUAUCUGGCAAGGUUUAUGAGUCAUGGGUGUUCUCAAUAUCAGCAAGAAGUUGAGGUGGCUCUAAGUAGGGUUGUGCUCCUAUCCCUCAACUUUGGGGAUCGUAAUAUUCAUACUUAUGAUGCUACCUCGAAGACGACAUGAUACAAUGGUGUGGCAUCCCCUUUAGCAUGACUGUUUGAAGCUGGGAAACGUGGUUGCUUCAGUUGGCAAUGGUUGUUGGGUGGGAUUAGGUACUCUGGCUAGAUAUAUUAAUGGUGAUGAUGUGAUUAGUGCUGCAAGGAUGAUGAAUGAUCGUAAUAUUCAUACUUAUGAUGCUACCUCGAAGACGACAUAAUACAAUGGUGUGGCAUCCCCUUUAGCAUGACUGUUUGAAGCUGGGAAACGUGGUUGCUUCAGUUGGCAAUGAUUGUUGGGUGGGAUUAGGUACUCUGGCUAGAUAUAUUAAUGGUGAUGAUGUGAUUAGUGCUGCAAGGAUGAUGAAUGCUCGUUGGCCAGCAAAUGUGGCAGAGUACAAAGGAGCAAUGAUAAACAUGUAACGAGUAGAUACAUCUAAUAAAAUUUGUGUAUAUAGCAAAUCGUGUUUGUGUAUAUGUCAAAGACUGUGUGUGUAUAAACAAAUAGUGUUUGUGUUUGUAAAGUAGCAAAAUAAGGGAAAAACAACACAUACAAUAUAUGUUUAUACACAAACACAAUUUGUUAUAUACACAGACACUAUUUGUUACAUACACAAAUUUUCUUAGAUGCAUCUCUUGUUAGACGUUUAUCAUUCUUCGAGUAAAAAGCUGCUUUACUUGAUUUGAAGCUGGCUUAUAAGUUCUAUCUGGCUACAGCCUUGCUUGCAAUCAAAUUGCUAGGUUCUUGUGUCAUGCUUAAGUAGAAAUAUGUUCUUUAUUGAUCUUGAUUUUGCUCUUUUAAAUUCUCCUUCUAGGAGUCUUUCUUUCUUGAAGGGUUCUUACGUUGAAGGUGUUGACAAUGUGGAUGUACAUCACCUUGCCAGUUUAGAGGAUGUUGGGUAUACUAGUGCCUUCCAAAGGUUCUCACGAACGAAUAAUGUGGAUUGAAGGCAGUAGUAAUGCGUGGUCUAAAACAAAAACUUAGUCUACACUUUGCUUACUUCCAAGUUCCAGCAUACAAAGUAGAGUCCAUCGUGGGUAUAAUAUGUUACACCACAACUUAUUGUGUAACAAUAAUUCACAUUUGCGAACUAAUAUAAUUCUUCCAUGUCUUAUACAACUAUUUCAUGUUAUUAUUGUUCUGUUUCAUAUC